UGGCGGCAGGCCUAACACAUAGCAAGUCGAGCGGUAACAUUUCUAGCUUGCUAGAAGAUGACGAGCGGCGGACGGGUGAGUAACGCGUAGAAAUCUACCUAGUAGUGGGGGAUAGCCCAGAGAAAUUUGGAUUAAUACCGCAUACGCCCUACGGGGGAAAGCGGGGGAUCUUCGGACCUCGUGCUAUUAGAUGAGUCUGCGUCGGAUUAGCUUGUUGGUGAGGUAAUGGCUCACCAAGGCGACGAUCCGUAGCUGGUCUGAGAGGAUGACCAGCCACACUGGAACUGAGACACGGUCCAGACUCCUACGGGAGGCAGCAGUGGGGAAUAUUGCACAAUGGGCGCAAGCCUGAUGCAGCCAUGCCGCGUGUGUGAAGAAGGCCUUAGGGUUGUAAAGCACUUUCAGCAGUGAGGAAAGGGGUGUCGUUAAUAGCGCCAUCCUGUGACGUUAACUGCAGAAGAAGGACCGGCUAACUCCGUG
Molecule: ribosomal RNA, 480 nt
Filed under: uncultured bacterium
Lineage: Bacteria
Description: bacterial SSU rRNA
Rfam family: Bacterial small subunit ribosomal RNA
Source: RNAcentral